RNAcentral lists this ribosomal RNA (564 nucleotides) under Peltophryne peltocephala (Tschudi's Caribbean toad). Its description in RNAcentral is "Peltophryne peltocephalus (Tschudi's Caribbean toad) partial 16S ribosomal RNA". It matches the Rfam family "Bacterial large subunit ribosomal RNA", at positions 1819 to 2597 of the family's 2925-position model. The record is from RNAcentral. Lineage: Eukaryota; Metazoa; Chordata; Amphibia; Anura; Bufonidae.
CGCCUCUUGAAUUAAUAUAAGAGGUCCAGCCUGCCCAGUGACCCUGUUCAACGGCCGCGGUAUCCUAACCGUGCGAAGGUAGCGUAAUCACUUGUUCUUUAAAUGAGGACUAGUAUGAACGGCAUCACGAAGGUUAUACUGUCUCCUUUUUCUAAUCAGUGAACCUAAUCUCCCCGUGAAGAAGCGGGAAUAUAACUAUAAGACGAGAAGACCCUAUGGAGCUUAAAACAACACAGCACUUGCUAAAAAACUAAGCAUUCCCGAAUUUUUACUUUCUAGGCAACAUGACUGUAAGUUUUUGGUUGGGGUGACCACGGAGUACAAUAUAACCUCCAUGUUGAAAGAAUUUUUUUCUAAGCCAAAAAUUACACUUUUAAGCAUCAAUAAAUUGACAUCUAUUGACCCAAUAUAUUUGAACAACGAACCAAGUUACCCUAGGGAUAACAGCGCAAUCCACUUCAAGAGCUCCUAUCGACAAGUGGGUUUACGACCUCGAUGUUGGAUCAGGGUUUCCCAGUGGUGCAGCCGCUACUAAAGGUUCGUUUGUUCAACGAUUAAAACCCU